UAAGGAAGUGGAAGGAGAAAGUGGCAUGGCCACGCCUCACCAAGGAGAACAUCAAGCCAGCCUGGCUGUUUGUGGACUUUGAUAACUGGCGAGACUGGGAAGGCGAUGAGGAAGUGGAAAAGACCAUGGUUGAGCAUUACGCUGAGCUCCUGCAGAAGGUCACUGCUAAAGGCCCACCCCCUGCAAUGGAUGACCUCGAUGAUGAGAUUUGAAAGCACAGAUCCUGCAGGUGUGUUUCCAUUAUCUGACGAGAGAUGUGCAGGCAGACUUGCUGACGCUGAACAGGAUUAGUGCAUACAUCAUCCUCACUGCACUGGCAAAUGCCCUCUGGGAUCUGAAAGGAC
Molecule: long non-coding RNA, 344 nt
Filed under: Pelusios castaneus (West African mud turtle)
Lineage: Eukaryota; Metazoa; Chordata; Testudines; Pelomedusidae
Description: lncRNA (ENSPCEG00000002579.1)
Source: RNAcentral